RNAcentral lists this ribosomal RNA (315 nucleotides) under Triticum aestivum (bread wheat). RNAcentral describes it as "partial small subunit ribosomal RNA". The record is from RNAcentral. Lineage: Eukaryota; Viridiplantae; Streptophyta; Magnoliopsida; Poales; Poaceae.
AUGGAGGAGAGGUGGGCGAGCGGGAAGGGCUGGGGCGUCGCCCACGACGUCGAGCUUGACGGCGGCCUUGCGGCGGCGCAGUCGGCGAGGACCUGUCGGAUCUCGCAGGAUCCGGUGGGAUAUGGAGCGCAGGCGGCGGAUCUGGAAGGAAGGUGGCCGGAGCUUGGAACACGACGGCUGGCGGGCGCGUCAUGGCCGACGCCGGUGAGAGAAGAGAGAGAUGAGCGGGAGAGAAAAGAGAGGACGGGAAGAAGAUGUGAGGCUAGAGGGAGAGAGAAGGGCGUGGUGGUCCUGCUGCUGCUCGCCGGUGGCUAG